RNAcentral lists this ribosomal RNA (261 nucleotides) under uncultured bacterium. Its description in RNAcentral is "partial 16S ribosomal RNA". The record is from RNAcentral.
CUGCUGCCUUCCGUAGGAGUUUGGGCCGUGUCUCAGUCCCAAUGUGGCCGUUCACCCUCUCAGGCCGGCUACUGAUCGUUGCCUCGGUAGGCCAUUACCCCACCAACUAGCUAAUCAGACGCGGAACCAUCGUAUACCACCAGAGUUUUUCACACCGCUUCAUGCGAAGCUGUGCGCUUAUGCGGUAUUAGCACCUAUUUCUAAGUGUUAUCCCCCAGUAUACGGCUAGGUUUUCCACGUCGUUACUCACCCGUCCGCCAA